Long non-coding RNA from Microtus ochrogaster (prairie vole), 1042 nucleotides. RefSeq lists it as uncharacterized. Lineage: Eukaryota; Metazoa; Chordata; Mammalia; Rodentia; Cricetidae. The record is from RefSeq and is a predicted model, not a curated record.
AAGCUGUGGCAGACUAACCACCGAGGGCCUCUAAAAGGGACAGUAAGCUCAACUCCCAGUUUGGAAGCAAGACAGAAGAUUCCCCAAGAACCAGAAAGCCAGCAGGGCUGGGAAUGAAAGCCAUGGCCUUGUAUGACAUGUUAGGUAUAAAGCUAGCCAUGUGGGCGGCCGUGAGCUGGGGCGGCUCCUUUCAACAAGCAAGGGGAAUUGAGUCCCUCAGAGACUGGACUUCCCUACUGCAGAAAACUAAAAUUCAUCUCGGAGUGACCCUUGGACCCGCACAGAACAGAACAGCUGCACUUGGUGUCCAGUGUGGUGUUGCUUGGAGAAAGGAGGGAUCCAACACUCCAGAACUGAAGGACACACAAAUUUGUGGAUACCAUCAGAACUGACAUGAGCAAGAGAAGUCCCUUGGAUGCUUUGGCUGCUGACGUCGGUGACAUGACUUGGGGAAAGAAGAGAUACAGAAAGCCGUUGAAGUAGACAGUUGAUCCUUUCACCUUGGGGACAGCUUAAGAAUUUGUGUGGCAAAGAGGGAGCAUUAGUCUGACUGACCAGAAAAACCUCUGGAUGCUACAGCAUUGUUUUUUGUUAUGCUGUUUGUGGUAACUGCAAAGGUAACAGGGACCAACUAUACAUCUUGGGCCUAUGUUCCUAAUCCUCCAAUUAACAGGAGUAAGCUGGGGAGAUAUGGAUAUUCUUGUGGUGGUUAUUAAAUAGUCUCAGCUACUUGGUCCUUAUAACAACUGAGGACCUGCUCAGCCAUGAAGGAGGGUAAGGAAAUCAUAAACUAUAUGGUGGGGGUUCAAGGAAUUGCCAUUUGUAUGGGUAAUGGAAUUCAGUGUCUAAAUAUAUUUCAAGUGUGGUUAUCUGUAGUUAAUACUAGCCAGGAUCAUCAUAAAUUUUAUAUGCUUCAUGCAUGCGGUUUUAGAGGACAGGAGAUUAAUACUAGUAGUUCAUAAAUCUACUGCCUGUGAGAUUUUAGUCACCAACAAGAGAUCUGACUGGGUACAUUGGCAACAAUGUAAGAAUGAGAACCUGG